GCCAUCUGGCCCUUCCCAAAGAAAAACAAAAAUAAUAAAAAAGAAAAAGAAAAAAAAGGAUCGUGGGAGAGAAAAAAAGAAACAGAGGGAGAAUGCCUCUCUUUGGUCCUCUUUGGAGUUUUUCUACAAAAUUCAUGAUCUACGAAAAUCUAACUGUUCAAACUCAAAUUUGACUUCGGUAAAGUGAUCUACGAAACCCGAUCUACGUUUCUACCGAUUAGUUUGAGGAUUUGUUGUGAGAAGCUUGUUAAACAUUCUCCAAGUGUUGGAUUUACAUUUGGUGGAAUUUUUGUAAUGCAUUGCUUGGUGGUGUCUAGGAGACCUAGUGCUUAAUAUCCGCGCAGCCAAGGUUAUGCGGAUAUAGAUAUUGACUCGUCUACCUAGCGUAUAAGAAGCUAUGAUUGGAGCACAUCACGACAGUCAUAAAUCACGGACUCAUGUGUAGUCUGUAUUUUGGGUAUUUUAUUUAUGGCUCGUGUCCUACGUGGUUUACGUAGUUGUCGAGCCUGUAAUUUGAUAUGUAAUUAUAGUAAAAUGUUUUAUAAGCUUUACUCAGUUAGACAUAUAAAUGGCUCUUGUUGUUGAUAACAGUUAUGUAUUAGAUGUACUUCCGCUUU
Long non-coding RNA from Alnus glutinosa, 617 nucleotides. RefSeq lists it as uncharacterized. The record is from RefSeq and is a predicted model, not a curated record. Lineage: Eukaryota; Viridiplantae; Streptophyta; Magnoliopsida; Fagales; Betulaceae. The transcript has 4 exons.